Molecule: long non-coding RNA, 3772 nt
Filed under: Gossypium barbadense (sea-island cotton)
Lineage: Eukaryota; Viridiplantae; Streptophyta; Magnoliopsida; Malvales; Malvaceae
Description: long non-coding RNA (GBAR_LNC012109)
Source: RNAcentral
CUUUUCAUCUUUAUCAACCGAGGGGAGAGAACAUUAGUUUUAGCUCAUAGUUUCUUCAUUUUCUCUUAGUCUUACGAGAGGGAAAGGAAAGCCACGGCUUGCAUGUUGAGGCAAACAAAAAAAUUUCACUCAUUUUAAGGCUAGAUUCUCAAGCAUUGCUAACAAAGGAGGAGGAGGACAAAGAGUUAAAGGAAGGAGAAAGUGGUGUAGGCAAUUUCAGCUAGGAAGAAAUUUCUAGUAAGUCCUUGAACUCCAAAUUUCCAAUUUACUAUUUAAGAUAUUAUAUUAUUGAAUAAUUCAGUUGAAAUUGGUUUGAGCUACCUGUUGGUUAAUUAGUUAAAAAUGGAGUCUUGUCCAUGGCAUGUUGAAAUUGAAGUUGGUUAAGGAUAUUUUGGUUGUUUGCAUGUUGUUGUUUUUACGGUUCAAAAUAAGGAAAAGUUACAGGUUUUUAUUGCAGACCAAGAACAGGGUUCGAUGCUGUCCAAAGUAAGACAUUUUUAUUAUGUUUUGUUGAAGGUUAAAAAUUGUUAGCUAAUGCUGCUGAAUGGUGGGGUAAAUUUAGUUAUUUUAAUACUUGAAUUUAAUAAUUUAACAGUUAAAUUAUGUAUUGAUUAAUUGCUUAAAAUAUCACUGUCCUUAAGUUGUAAUUGAGGAAUAUUAAUGGUUGUGAUGUUAGUGUUUUGCUGUUGUAGUCCAGGUGGUCAGCUGACAUGAAUUAUGUGGUCUUGAAACAUAAAUUGAAGUAAAUUAAAUGUUGUAGUUAAGCUGUCCAAAAGUAUGAAUAAAUAUUGUUCUAUAUUGUGGCUUGUUACCGAAUUAAUGUUAAAACUAAGUUGAUUAAUUGGGGGAUAAAUUGUUGUUGUACAAUGAUGAUUUAUUAUCGAAUUUAAGUUGUUCCAAGGGUGAAAAGUGGCUGCUGUUGAAGUAGUGUUUAAUUAAAUUAUCCAAGUGAUGAUUAACUAUUACUGUUUAAGAUGGUGUCAAGGCUUAUUUGAUCGUCUGAAUGCAGUUAAUUAGCGGCAGGAAGCUUUGUUAGUUUAGUUAGGUUGUACUAUUUAUGAUAGUUGAAAAUAACUAUUAAAUAUUCUAAAAUUUUCCCUUGUUUAAUUGAUGUCUACUGAUGUUAAUGUGCCUAAAAAAAUGACUAUUAAAUGUUCAAAAUUCCUCUGGUUUAAUUGAUAUUUACUGCUUUUAAACUAUAUCUGAACGUGAGUGAUAAAUGAUUAAAUUUAUCCUUAAUCAUUCGAUUUAUUGCUGCUAUGUAAGAUGUUCAAAAAAAAAAAUUACGAAACCUUGAUGCUGGGAAGAACAGUUGGAUCAAGGGAAAAAUCGGGUAGAAUCCAUGGUUGAUGGAACUGUUGAUGCCUACAUGGCAGAAUCUUGUUAUUUGCCCUUGUGCUCAAGAGCUUAGAGGAUUAAAGUUGGAUAGGGGAAAGGAAAAAGUAAUCGAAUAGCCGUUGAAAUCGUUCGACAACUUCCGAGGUAAGUUUCUAGCAUAUAAGUUUAGUUAUAAUGAAGAAUGAUAUGGAAUACGGGUAAAGAUGGGACUAUGAAUUGGUGUAAUUACCUAUAGUAAAAUGAUAAGGAAUAAGUUACUUCUAUGAGCCUUAGCCGAUUUGUUAUUAGAAAAGUGAUAUUUAAAUUAUGAUUUGUAUGUGAUAAUAAGAAGUACUUAUAUAUGAUGAUAUGUUUUAAACUCAAAUGCUAAGUUCUUAAGUGUUUGGACUUGGAAAUUUAAGAGCAAAUUGUAAUAAUCUGCUUAGGACAGCAACAGUAGCGUGAUUUUGAAAAUCACCAUAAAUUGUUGGAGUGGAAUUAGAGACUGAAUAAAAUAUGUAAUCAAAGCUCAAUGAGUCUAGUUUCUUAUAAAAUAAACAGUGUAAGCAAAGGAAUUUCCUAUAGAGAGAUAUUUAAAGUUGUGUGUGAUAGUGUCAGAAUGAAUCUGAAAUCCCCUGUUCUGUUUUUAGAAAAUCAUUAUAAAUAGUACAAAAAUUGUUAUAAGAUAAAAUUUAUAUUCUUAGACUCCUUAAUGAGUCUAGUUUCAAAUGAAAUAAACAAGAACAUAUUUUGAAAUCUGUACAAUGAGAAAUUUGAUUCGUAGUGAAGAGUGGUCAGUAUAGUCGAUCAGUGAAAUAGGGGAAACUUUAAGAAAAUUCUGGUUUUGAUUGGCCAAACCAAAAAUCAUGAAAAUUUUAUGGAUAGAAGAUAUAUGAGUCUAUUUUCGGGGAAAAUUUACGGCACUUCAUUUGGAGUUCCGUAGCUCCAGUUACAAAUUAUCUAAUGAUUGUUGCUCAAAAAAACAGCUUGUAGUGAAUCUGUGAUUUUGUUGUAAACAUUGAUAAAACUAAUUGAGUUGCUUAUAAGCUAUUGCUGAAUUGAUGCACAAGAUAAAUAUAUAGGUGGUGAGGCCAAAAUGGCUAAAAUUUAAAUGUGUGCAAGUUAUCCGAAUGGCUAUUUUAUAAACGUAAGUAAUGUAUAUGUAAUAUGUGUUGAUAGUUUUAUAAAUUGAAGGUGUAGUGACUUAUAUGUUGUUUAGCCGAAUGGUUGUCAUGAGAAGAAUGUAAGUCAUGUGUGUAUUUUCUUAUUUAGUUGGAAGUUUAUUGAAAGGGAUAUAUAUAGAUAUAUAUAUAAAUAUGAAUUAAAGUCGAACGAUAUUAGGACAUGAAGUUAAGGUAUACGCUAUAUGCUUAUAUUCGAAUGAGGUUAAUGAAUUACAAUGGUGAUAGUUUGUGUGAAAUGUGGUAACAUGUGAUUAUAGGGUUAUGUUUUAUUUGAAAUAUUAAUGUGAAUAUGAACUAAAGAACUAAGCUCCUAAAUACAUAUAUAUAUUUAUGUAUGUGCACGAAAUGAGUGCAUAUGAUUAAGUGGUUAGAGGUAUUGAAAGGUUGAAUUGGUAAUUGGUAACUAUGGAAACGGUAAGUGUACAAAGGUUAAGUAUAUGGUAAGUGAUACUUACUUGCUAUGUGAAUUCGAUUUCGUUUGUAUUACAAAUGUACUUGGGGAAUCACUUAUGAGAUGGUUAUAAGUUAUAUUCAUCGAGUAUUGACUCUAUCAAAUUGUUUAUGUAAUAUGAAAACAUGAAUAUGUGUUUCCAAAUAUGGAAACCGAAUGUGAUUAUAGUGUUAUGUUUUAGUUCAACUGAUUAAACUAAAAAAAAAAUAGCAUUGAUGUUUUUUUUAAAUGCGAAGGGGUAUAUACUCUUAAAUUUGGAUGAAAUAGAUGAAUUACAUGUGCAUAGGGUUUAAUCUAUUUGACCGAAUGGUGAUAUAUCUUGACAUUUCAAAACGUGAUUUGUGUAAGGCCUAAUCUUAAGCGACUUAGUAAUAAAUCAACAAUUACGGAUGUUCAGCACAUUAAGUUGGCCAGGUAUAUAUUAUGUACUUGUGUAGGCUUAUUAAGCCCAUCGAGACUUCACUUGGAUUUUGUGUAAGUUAUAAAUGUAUUUAAUCCAGCAAAGUUAAUUGUUUUACUUAAGACUUACUAAGCCUUGAAAGCUUACUCUGUUGUUACAUUUCUCUGUUUUAUAGAUUGCCAAAUUUGGCCUUUGCUCGGGAAUCGUCAACAACUCGUCACACUAUCACUAUCCACUGUUUGGUACUGUUAUGUUUUGGAUUAUUUUAUGGCAUGUAUAGAAUAGACUAGUAGCAGAAUAAUAUUCUGGUUAAUGUAUAUAAGCCAUGCGAAAAUGGCAUCCUUUGAAUGUGUACUUAUAGAAGUUUAAUUUUAUCCUUGGCUGUAUUUAGCAUUUAUCUAAAUGAAUGAUCUUUAUUUC